GCACUACAACUACCAACAGAGGAUGCACAACUAUCAGCAUGCACAGAUAUUGAGGACUCGACAAGAAAACUAUCAUUCCCCCUAUUUUUAUCCAUUUUAGAAUACUCAGCUGUUCCAACAUUAAAGGAACAGAGAACAUUAUUUUUACCCAAUAUUGCAUUUGGAUAAACAACUGCAUCUACCUUUUCAAGAGUUGUAGAUGGAUG
Molecule: unclassified non-coding RNA, 206 nt
Filed under: Hevea brasiliensis (rubber tree)
Lineage: Eukaryota; Viridiplantae; Streptophyta; Magnoliopsida; Malpighiales; Euphorbiaceae
Source: RNAcentral